This 1578-nucleotide long non-coding RNA is filed under the name Homo sapiens (human). RNAcentral describes it as "novel transcript". Lineage: Eukaryota; Metazoa; Chordata; Mammalia; Primates; Hominidae. The record is from RNAcentral.
AGCGGCAGAAAAGGCCGGCGUGUGGGGCGGGCCUGGGGAAGGGACUCCCGCGGCCCUAAGGUGCUGGCGGGCGUUUGGCGUUGCAGCUGUGUGGGCGCUGGUGCGUGCGAGUAGCGCUCGAAGAAACCCAAAGGCGUCGUGGGGCUGCCGUGUGCCCCAGAGAGCACUGCAGGCCGGGUAGGGGCUAAGGCUCCCCGCAGUCUUCUGUGUGUCGUCCAGUACGCAGUUGAAAUCGUUCUCCAACCUGGCCAGUCCUCCGAGGCCCUUCUCAGGCGACCAGACUCUGUUAACAGAGUCCAUUGCUAAAACUCCUCGUUAGUAUUUACCACUCCUCCAGUCUGUGUUUUGAAGCAGUGGUUUUCAACCACUGCCCGUUUUCAGAAGAAAUCAUCUCAAGCGUCCGUGUGCUGCUAGAAGCCGGGCCGGGAGGUCUUGGUGCCGGACUCCACCCUGCAGCCCUUCCCUUUCGCCACCGCCCUGUGCUUAGAGAAACCUUAGAGUGGAGCAAUGAGUCGCCCUUGACUGAGUAACUCUUCGGGGUCAACUUCUCCUUCCACGCCAAGGAAAGGAUUCCAGGGCGAUGUUUCUGGAAAUAGAGAUCUGACCAAGCCACUGCUCUGGUGAAAAUUCAGUGGGUCCCUAGCACCUAGUGCAGCGGCUCCUAGCCUGAGUAUUGCCGUCUUUCGGUGGGGAGGGGUUGGGUUUUUUUGUAGCAUCUGUUGAUCUGAUCUCCAACAUCCUCCACGUCAAUUCCCACUCCACCCACAUCCCUUAUCCUAUACGUAAGCUUUCCAGCCACGGUGCUGGCUUGGGUGGGGGUGCGUGCGGUGCUGACACCAAAAUGGAGGUCCCGUGUUUCUGAGAGUCUCUUUCAGAGCAAUGCAAACCUGAAACUACUCCUGCCAAGAAACGAUUGCAGCUCUUCCCGGAAAAGUUAAAGCCUUUGAGAAACAAAGCUGAGACAGGCAGUAACACAUGUUGGUGAGGUUGUGGAGAAAAGGGAACCCUCAUAUACCAUUGAUGGAAUGUAAAUUAAUACAAUCACUAUGGAGAACAGUUUGGAAGUUCCUCAAAGACUAAAAAUAGAGUUACCAUACGAUCAAGCAAUCCCACUGCUAGCUAAUAUUGGGAAGCUCAGCAGGGUCCUGGGGGCCCACAGGAAUGUGAAUAAACACGCUUGGAAAGUCUGCAGAAUUUCCAGUCCUAGCCUCCUGCUGGUGUGAACCUGGGCUCCUGUGCCUGGGACCCUGGGAGGGCCUAGGGGAUGCCAAAUUCCAGGGUCCAGAAAGAGCUUGGGAUAAAAUGAACAUCCAAGGGGAGGGCUUUGACCUGGGCUGAGUCUGCCUGUGCCGAGUCUGCCUGUGCCAUCCAACUGGAGUCUCAAGUCCUGAGGCAGGACGUCCAGAUGCCCCAGUGCAGGGUCCUCCUGAUCAACACCUGCUCCCCUGUACUCAUUAGCAACCUCACCCACCCUACUCUCAAAGCACACUUGGCUCUCAUAUCCAGGAGCUCUGCAUCUGUAGAUUCAGCAACAGCAGAUGGAAAAUAUUCAGAAAAUAAAUUGGACAGUUAUAUUUC